GGUCGCUUAGCUCAGUUGGUUAGAGCGUGGUGCUAAUAGCUGCUUUUGAGUUGCCUUGAUACGCCAAGGUCGCGAGUUCGACCCUCGUAGUGACCA
This is a non-coding RNA of Setomelanomma holmii, 96 nucleotides long. NCBI's taxonomy places the organism in Eukaryota, Fungi, Ascomycota, Dothideomycetes, Pleosporales, Phaeosphaeriaceae. The record is from the annotation of a GenBank genome assembly.